Lagopus muta (rock ptarmigan) is the source of this 28525-nucleotide long non-coding RNA. RefSeq lists it as uncharacterized. NCBI's taxonomy places the organism in Eukaryota, Metazoa, Chordata, Aves, Galliformes, Phasianidae. The record is from RefSeq and is a predicted model, not a curated record. The transcript has 5 exons.
GCGCAGACGCGUGGCGGUGCGGUUAGUGGUUCGCCCAGCUGGGAGGGGUGGGCUGGUUUGUUGUGUGGAAUUGCGGUGCUUUUGGGAAGUCUGUCCGACCAAUCCUUAACAGUAAGAAUGCAUAUUCUGAAGCAUUCCUACCUUGAGGAUGAGUUCUGUGAGGGAAAAGGCUGUGUGUGUGCCCAGCACAACACCUGUGCAAAUCUCUUAAUAAAGAUUUCUAACUGCAGGUGCCUAACUCAAAAAAAAACAAUGUUUUGUGUUCCACUGCUCUCUUCAAAGCAGAAAUAACCUGCUCUAAUUCGCACUCCACCGCUGCAAGAUCUGCUUCUGAAAGGAUCGCCUUGAAAAACUGGUAUUUUUUCCCUAAGCUGCACCUUACAACAUUAAUCACCACUCAGCGGAGUUGCCCUUCCACGCUAAUAGCUCGUCGUGCCUCCUGUGACACUGCCGUUGUUCUGCAGUGACACAGAACAAAGAGAAAAUGAAGGAAGUGGGGACGAGGAGUUGGAGGAAACAGAAAGGCGGUGUGGUUUUGAAGUGUGCAACGCUACAAAGCAGAGCAGCGGAUCCAUGGGCACGCGUGGGAAAAGGAGUCGUGGUCAGAUGAGUCCAUCGGGGCUAUUCAGGAGAGAGGAUACCCUUCCCACUGACAUCUGUGAAUGACUCCAUGUGUGGACAGGGAAGCUCACUGCUGUGCAGAGGACCCACACCCCACAACAAAGUAAGUAGAAUAAUACAUCACUUCUACUUACAAAGGCAAAAUCCUCAUCUAAUGCAGUGAUGAAUGGCAUCUCUCCUCAGCUCCACAGUGCUGAGGUGCUGUAGAAAUAAUGCUGCACAUUUUUCAGAGAUUCCAAAGCGUUUUGCAGCCAUUCACUGACCAAGCUUCAGGUCGUCAGAGAGAUACGUUUCACCUGAGGGAUGAAAACUGUUUUGUUUCACACUUCAGUGCUACUGCCUCUGUGGAGAUGAUGCAUUAUCUCAGGGGCUGGAUGGGAAAGCCCUGAAUGAUUUCAGUACACUGACUUGGGCAGAGUGUAAUCACAGUACCAGGGGUCAACAAGCCUUAAAAGAAGUCACUCUGACUCUGCAGAAAUAGGAAGGAGGAGAAAAGAAGUCUUGACGACAAUUUGUUCUCCUGUAAAUGGUCUUGGACUUCAUCAAGGGGAGCUUUGAGUCUUGCUAAUUUUUUGCAAGGCUCUGGGUACAAAUUAAUUUACACUGACAAAUUAGUUUCUUUCCUCAACCACUCUUGGGAGCACAUAGAAAGUCCAUGCAUAUUUUUGUGAGCAGCUUGCCAUUCCUGUCAGUUAAAACAGUGAAGGCUGAAUGCCUUUACAAUGUGAAAGUGAAUUUUCUGCUGUGUUUUUAGGGCUAGGCUCUUGUUCCAAUGUAAGCAGAAAUACAUUGCUUAUUUCCCAUGGCUUUGCUUUAAUGGUGGCAAAGACAAGAUUCUGGACUUCAGUGCAAACUGCAGGGCUAUUCUCUAAAGUAAUUUGGCCCUAGGAUGUGAAAGAAUCAGAUCAUCUGUAAAAACAAAUCCCUUGACAAGAGAUCUCAAUUCUGUAUUAGCUUCUUAAAGACCUUCCCAGAGACUGAUGUAAAGACGGAAGCCUGGCCACGGCAAGAGCCAAAGCACAAGAAAUUCACUCCUGACACUUGCACUGAUUUCAGGAUAUUUGGAUCAGACUGUUACGGGCUAUCUUGCAGUAAUUCAAACUGCAAACAACACAGAACUUGAAUUUUCUGGUGUAUUUCAUUGUUCCUUGCUUUCUCACAGCAAUUCACAGGAGUUGAUCCCCAGACUUAGGGCUGCUGUGUACGUGGAGGUCAGCAGGAAUCUCGCUAUGAAUUUGCAACACUGCCACCACAGCCUCCAAGUGGUUCCAAACCUACACUGCAACAUUUCCCUUUUAUUUGGACUUUAAAGCUUUGCUUGACCAAUGCCUCAGCAGCCUCCCUGAAAAUUCUUCAGAAAAGAAAACUAGGAACGGCCCUUUUGUUAUUGUCCUUUUCCAAAAGGGGCCAAGGUAGUGACUUGUGAGCUCCCUCAUACAAAGAGAAGAGAGGGAAAAAAGAAAUAAUCUCCCUACCCCCCAUGUGCCAGAGAAAGCAGGCGCGCCGGAGAGGCUGUGCAUACGCUGCGAGAGCAAGGCUAGGGCAGGGGCUGACCUCCGGCUGCCUAUCCACCACAAAAGAGACCGUGGCAUUGACACAGCCUGACUGUUCUCCUUCGAAGGGGAUGGAUUGAGAGGAAGUGACCCUUACUGCCCCGCUUCUGCGGGGGACCUUGUGAAUAACUGUUGCUGUUCUCUUCCUUCCUUCCUCAGGCAGGUCAGAGAAAUUAACGCUGAGAACACUCUCUCUUAGUUGGUUGUUGGAGCAAGAAAAAACACUUUUUCCUUGAAAUGGAUGAGCAAGGACUGUAGAGGUGCUAACUUUUUGCUGUUUCUGUCUUGGGAAACAUGGAAUGAUUCCCAGACUGAUCCACAGUGUUCACAGAUGACAGGGGCUCAGGAGAGGUCGGAGGGAAUGACUCUUGGUCCAAUCUCACUCUCCACAGGGGCUAAGGAAAAAAGAGAGAGAGUGAAUGAACUCCAGGAGUAUGCGAUCGCAGGAAUUUUUGUCUUCUUCUGAAAAGGGGGCAUGUUUAUUUUGUAGCCCUGGUAAGAAAAAUAACCUGCCACUGAGAAAAAAGCACAUCCAUUUAAGGCAAGAAUGAGCUUCAACUCAGUGACCUAGAAAUCAAGGCAGAAAGUAAAAGCUAAUAAAUAAAUAAGUAAAUAAAAUAAUCAGGGAUGUUGCACAAAAUCAAGGGUUGCCCUCUGAAGAGGUGUAAUCAAGGCUCUGAGCCAUCAGUUAUAAUGGUUUUGAUUAAAGAAAGCUGUGCAGAAGUAAUCUACUUUAUUUUUAAAUGGCCUGAUUUUCCCUCACUACUCUCUUGGAGACGGAACCUAGAACAACUUGAAGGAGGACAUAAAAUGUUCAUUGAAAAUAGGCAGGUGAUAAGGUAUGCAUUCAAUAAAAAAACUCACAUCUUUUAAAGUUACUUUUGGGUUUCGAUGGCAUGCAUUAAAAUUGGCUGAAAAAAGCAAUGCCUUAGUAAAUAAAAACAUGAAAGACUUCCAAAUCCUGGCUGAUCAAGCCACGCGGUUCCUUUCUGCAAACUUGAUGCCCGUUCACAAUGUUGAGCUUCAUCACUUAUUUCCAGUGUAGCUGAAAUGCUAAAGUCUGAAAUUCUUCGGUUCCUGCAUAGGGUCAGACUUGUUGUCUUUGCUUGAUAAAUAUCGACAAAUAGUAGAAAAGAACCUCAGAAGAAUCACAGCUAGGGUGGGAGGGGAGGGAGGUUUACAUUUUCUUCCUCAAGAAGGUCAGAUGUUUAUUCAAGCCUAUCCAAGCCUUCUGAACAGAUUUUUGUGCUGGAAAUCUCAUGAGAGCAGCAUUUCCUGGAGAGUGGAAGGAAUAUCUGUCUUCGGAACAGCCAUCUGCAAAGUGUCAUGCUGGUUUUGAGUCUGACAGUGCAAAAGGCUUACUGAAAUACCAGGUGCAGAAAUGUAGCCUAUUUCUUAAAAGGUUGUUGGAGUAAAGUGAGCUGAGUUCUUGUGGCAGCAGAAAUAAAGCAUGCGGUAUUUACUGCCCAUUACUGCUCUGCGCAGCGCUGAAUUCCUCCCACGUGACUUCCAUGUUGGAAAAGGGAUGUCCUUGUACCUUUAUCUGGGUGAGUCAACUUGCAUUUUUAUACUCACGGUAUUUUUUAGAAGAACUUCAAAACGUUAUUAUCAGUGCUUGGCUCGUUCUCACUUUAUUUUUCAAGUUAGUUAAAAUAGCCUAUGUAAAAUAGUAGAGUAUGGAAAAACAUGGGGAGGCCAAAAUGUCUACCAAGUGAGCAACUUUGAUUCAGUAAGUUGCAUGUUUCAGUGGAUCCAAUCACUAUUCAAAACAGGUUGUCUGUCUUCACAUGGGAACGGCCUCAUGUUUUAGUCAGAGAUGCUUGUGUGCCUUUGGUUUCAUUUUGAUGCCUCUUUGUGCUUCAGGCUCGUGGCCACAUCUUUUCCACAUUCCAAGCUUGGCAUAAGGAUUACCAGUCACAGAAAGAAGUAUGUUUUCAUGAGAAACUCAUUGUGUAAUGUAGCCUUGUAAAAAGUGUCAAUAGCACAUUUACAGUGCAGCAGAGCCGCUUAAAGCUGAGUGUCUUAACACUCAUUUAUGGAAGAUGGCUGUAAAGAUGAGCACAGGCAAGAUUUAGAUGUCUUCUUUGCAAAGGUAAGCAAUAGCAUUAGGCAGUGUCUGCAGACACAGCUCCCUGUGCAAGGACUAGGAGCUGGAAAUACUGCUCUCUCUAUAAAAUACAGGAAUCCAGACAAACCUGCAAAUUCAGAAUUUUGUAGAGGCUUGGGAAUUAUCUUUGUCCACAACGAAUGGGCAAAAGCUUACUGCAUCCUCUAAUCCCAACUUAUAAUUAACAUUUGAUUUCCAAAAGCGUGGCAAUCUUGUGUUCUUUUCAGUAACAGCAUGUGUUCUAUAUUCAUAGGAAAUCAAAGUUGUACGCUGUUUACAUUUCAGCAGCAUGCUUCAGAAAAUAAAUUUAGCCAUUCAAGGCUGAGGUACUUUUAAAUAAUAUUAAUAAAAUGAGAAAGUCGUGGGAUGGAGGACCAAAUGGAGAUACAUUGUCACCUGCUGUAAUUACUUUCUUAAUAUGCCAUCUGUUGCCUUAGGUUCUAGGGUCAGGAAGUGAAAUAAGCAAUGGUCUAAAAUAAUGCUGAUUAAGCUGUUUGUGAGUAAUAAUAUGAUGGCACUCUUGGCCCUCGCCUGUACCUGCGUCAUUUGUUUCCCAGAGUGAGACUUGCUCUCCCCAAGUACCUGAGAGCAUCCUAGCCAGCAGCCCUGCAGGACUUUUCCUGCUGGGAGGAAUAAGGGCAGGGUCAGUGGUUGUAAGUUCUGACAGCUCCAUGCAGCCUUUCAGGCUGACACCAAGAACAUUUUCCCCUUUAAAUAAUCAGCUGUUGGAGAAUUAUCAUGGAAUUGUUCUUUGUUUACUCCACCCUGGUUGUUGGGUAGCUUGUGUGACUCCAUGCACCAAAGCAAAUGACUGAAAAAUCCAGAACAGGAAACUUUUGAUAUGUGAGCAGGAAACGCUUAUGUUCAUGUAGGCCUUCCUUUGCUUGACCAUGCAUGUGUAUUUUCUUAGGGGGAAAAGUACCCUGCUUUCCCGCUAAAGCCUGUUGUAUAUGAAUGUAUGCAAGUAAGAAGCAGAGCAGAGCAAAGUACAUUUGAAUCUAAAAAUGUAUGUGAAAAUACACAUGCAUGCAUUGCAUAUCAAGACUAUAUCCCACUGGCUCCCUUUGGCAUAAACAGUGUGUGCCUGAAUUGUCCUUUAGAAGAAAAGCUACUCCUUUAACCAUGUAGAGAAUGCUAGACAAAAUUGGAUUUAUGCAGAGGAAGGACAACUUCUUUGUCAUUUCCAGAUAGGAGUUGUUUACAUAGCAGUUGCAAGAUGUGCAAAGCAGAAAAAAAAGUCAUCCCUGAAGAUGCAGAGUCGCUUAAAGCAAACAAAUUCCUCACACAAAUUAUGACACUGAUGCAAUAUAAUGUACAGAACAAAUGCUCACACUCAUUAAAGAUGGAGAGGGAGCCUGGUGUGUCACCUGCAGAGCUAGGAGUUGCGUUCAGUUUACGGUUCUCCUCUUGGGUGGUGAGCUAGCCUGGUCAGUUCAUGUGAACUCUUCACAAGCUGCAUGGAUUUCCCUGGAUCUCACAAUACACAUAGGUGAAAUGCUGUGAAUCCACUGAAGUUUUGCCACUGAGGAAUAAAAAACACAUUUAGUUUGUUAUUGUUAAGUGAAAGAAGGCAAUAUAUGACUGAAAUCCGUGUCUUUGAAAUCGGCGAACUUCUUUCUCUUAAUUGUGGUGAGUCAUGAUUAUAAGUGUAUGUGCACGUGUGUAAAUGUUAUGGAAAAAAAACCAGAAAGAUGGCUGGAAUCAGACUUAUGGUUGUAUGUUAACUCUAUUCUAUGUAUGCUGAGAUACAGCUACAACCAUUAGAUUCGAUUGUACUUUUAUCCCCACAGUUGGCUGCCGUGCCUUUGGGGAGUGUUUUUGUGUCAAAAUACCACCAAGCAAAGUGUGUUUGCUGAAACUGCAACACCUUUUGUAUGUAUUAUGGCACAUACUAAAACAAGGGGAGGGGGAUUCAGUGACACAUACUGAUUAAUUGGUUAACAGGAGCUUCCUCAUACUCAUUACAGCUAUUCAGCCAUAUCACUUUCUAAAUCUGAAGACACAAUUUUAUCUGAAAGCCCAUAUGGCUUAUCAGGAAACUGUGCAUAUAGAAAAUUACCACAAUCCUGAACCAAGAUAAUAUUUAUCUAAUAGACCAUAACAGCUUGGAAAGAGUCAAUAUGGUCUCUCAUUUGAGCAUGCAUUUUGCUAUGCAUUCUACCUAUACAAACACAAGUCAUUUACAUUGCAAGCUAUCUGCCUGGUAAAUCCAUUUUUAGGUAAUUCUUGUAACAGUAGAUAUUUUUUUAUGAGAGAUUAUAAAGAUCGCUUGAAUGUAUUGUAGCUCAUGUAAUAAUUUGGAGAUGACUGAGUAUUUGCCUGAUAGAUUGUAAUGGACUCUGAUGGAGCUGUUGGCUUUUAUCAGCUAAACCCAUAUUUUGGUAUGUAAGCAAAUUUGAAAGAGCAAAAUAUUUGCCGAACAAUCAGCCAGACUGCUGUGUCUGACUUGCAGCACCCUGCCUGCUCUGAGUCACCAGGUUGACAGAGGUGCAGCCUGUCUGCUGCCAGGGCCCAGGUCUGGCACAAAUGAGCCAUUACUGUAAAUUCUGUCUCAUCCCUUCCGCUCAGAGAAAUCAAGAAGUAUGAAGAGCACCUUGCUGGCAGUUAAUGGCUGAGUUGGAAGUGAAGUCACCUAAUCCCACAGAGAACGUCCUCUAGUGAAGUCAUGCUUACUCUGAAAGUCCUGGGUGGGUCCUGGCUUUGUGUUUGGAGGUCCUUUGACAUUGGAGUUAAAUAGGUUCUUCCCCUCUCUCCAUGUUUUGUAUUCUGUUUUCCCUCUGCUGGAAAAUGAAGGAGAAUAAAGAGACGAAUGGCAAGAAAAGAGUCAGCAUUUGAAUGGAAAAGGAAAAUUAGCAAGAAGAUAUUGUCUAGGAUGUAUUUCAGUAUUUUCAUAUUGUUCAAAGUGAAAGAUCGGAGUGUUAUCGAAGAACAUAGAGGUUUUUGUGAUCCCUCCUGAGGAAGAACUGCUCAGAAUCACAGAGUGGCCCCUUGGCAUAAUCUCUGAGAGCCUACACUAACAGGGAUGAAAGUGUCUGUCCUUUUCACUGAAUGCAGAGGGACCCCACGUGGCUGGUGAAUACUAUGUGCCUGACUCCUACACCAUUCAAGUCACAGGAGUUGAAAACUGCUUUUUCACCAAAUCCUCUCACUGAAGAAAAAUGGAAAAACAGCCAGAGCACCCAAAGAAAGGACUUCAGCGUGUUCAGACCUCCUCACUGCCCUCCAGAGAUACUCUCAGAGAAGUCAGAGAUUUGGACCUGCUCAACAGUUGAAGAAUGUAUGUGCUUCUAUGUGACAGCAUUUGGGAGAGCCUGAUUCCUGGAAAGCAUAAACUAGGCCUCUAGUCAGCAGUAGUGACUCAUCAACAAGAGGCUCUGCCUUCAAGGAUGUCUCAGACUCCUUGGUGUCUGGCAGGCCAGCACACAAAUGCUGCAAACACCUUUAUUUGAACGUUUUUGUAAACUUUAUAGGUGGAUUUACUCCCUUCUACUGAAAAACUGGACCAGAACCCAAUCCCUCCACUGAUUAAAAAUCUUCCAAUUUACAGCUAAAUGUGUUUAAGAUCAGUGCGCACAGGGAAUCAAGUAAAACCAGUAGAGGCACUUUGCAAGGUGUAUGGCCAGGCUCUUAGUUACAAUGUUGAAAGCAAAUGCUCACAAAGAAGAAAAUGCAAAUGGCAGCUCUGCUCAGGAGUCACUAUCAACCUCCAGCACCUAGACACCCAGCAGCCUUUCCAGCUGCCAGAUCUGGGAAUCUAGAGCUCUCAGCCUCACUCUGCCUUCCAAACAACUCCCCAGUUUCCAUUUCUACUCCUGUGCCAGGUGUGGUACCAGCCUCAGGAGCUGAUGACCUGAUUUUCAUCCCAUCACUCCUCCCUGGACAUCCCUUGAGCAUCAGCAUCUUUUAAGUGAUACCUAAGAUGAUAUGAAGGUGAGGAGCACCAGAUCCAAGAAGUUCAGCAUGCAGGCGGGAAGGAGCAGGGCAGAAUGUGAAGGACAGGCUGUUUUCUGUCCUCCUGAGAGAGAAGGAGGAAAUAAGGAAAGAACUGGAGAGGGAACAGGAGGGGUGUGAGAACUGAAUGAUUUAUGUGCAUAUACACGUGAGAGAAUGAGAGGCAAAGUUUCAAACUGGUAAUUGGUUUGGGAUUUUUAUUGAUUAUAAAUUGAAAUUGCAAGCUGUAGUUAAUAACCUGAGCCUGAACCAUAGCUGCUAUACAGAUUUGCUAGCACAUCUCUAUAAAAUGUUGUGCAAGACAGCAGCUAGGCAUAAAUUCUACAAUGCUUAUGAUUUCCAGCAUGUUACUUUCCAUAAAGACCCUCCAUUGGUAUUAAUUAUGGUAGCAGACAUAGAUGUGAAAUGCUGUUUGGAAGCAUCUUUUCCAGGACUUUGUUUCCUGUGACCCAUUUCCCACACCUUCUUUUUGGUUCUCAAAUAAAAUAAGCGGAAGAGUCACAUGUGGAAGUGGGUUCAAAGACCUUUGAUGCUACUCUAAUUUCAGUGUUUAUUUCACUCUUUUUGCUUUGGAGAUCACGAUUUAUACCCACGUCAGAAAGUUUAGGUUUAGGUUUGGGUCUGUGUGAUUUGGGCUGAGUUGGCAAUGCAGCAUUUUGAGUUUAUGGAUAUGUUCUUUUUAUAUAAAAUGCUUUUGACUUGACAGGGCAGAAAAAGGGGGCAAAAGCACCCAAAUGCUUUUAUCUUCUCUUACACAUGACUUCAAAAAUAAUAUAAUAAUUUUCAUUUUAAAGUGCACUAAUGCCAUUUUAAUAAUUUAUUGAGCAACUAACAUAAUACAAAGGAAAGGAUGAAAUGGAAUAUUUGUGGCUGCGGAGACAGAUAUCAUUAUUCAAGAGUGGAAGCAUGUGAAAGGGUAAAGGGGGUUUAAAGAGAUACUCUUUUGUUGUACUUAACACUGAUAAAUGACAUACAAGUCAGGAUAACAGGGCAGAGCUCCUGUCAGGGAGACAAUGAUAAAUGUGGAGCCUGGGACAGAAAGGUCCACUAAACAGAAAUCUGUAUAUGACACGUUGUACAUUUGAUAGACUCAUCUGCAUCGUCUGACUAAUCCACAAAGCAUUUCUCUUUGCUCGAAUUAUGGCCCUCAAGCACAUCUUGUACGAUCACCAAGUUCAUGUUUGUUCUCCCCUUUUCCUAUGGCAGCAAAGAUCAAUUCCCCUUAAUCAGUGCAACAUGCGAGGCUAAAAACAGUGGGGGAAAAUGUCCUCAUACAAAUAUAAUUGAUACUUAUUUCAGGCUAAUCAUCGUACAAUAUGAAAUAAAAAGCAGUCAGACCUUAUUUAUAAUUGCUGCUGUCUCAGAAAAGAAAUCUUCCUUUUAAAAAGAUGCCCAGCAUGUCUGUUCACAGAAAGGUCCGUUUAAGAGAAAACAAAAUCCCCAACUACUUCUUCUGUGUGAAUGAGACAGAAUGUCUGUGAUUCAUGUGUUAAGCUUCAUACAUCCCAUGCCCCAAGCACCGUGACCCGCUCUUCUCAAAUGUCCUCACAUCAAAAAGGAAGACAGAGGAGAGGAGGCAGCCAUAAAAGGCAUUCACAUCCACGAGAAGCAAUUUUAACAGUUCACAAAGGAAAAAUUCCAAGAAUAUGCUCAUGUAACAUUCACUGAACCCUCUUAGCAGAUGACUAAGCCUCACGCUUUCAAUAGGAGGAACGUGCAUGAAGGGAUAAGUGUGAUAUCAGGAGGUAAGAACACAAAGGAAGAUUGAGUGAAAGUAAUUCAGCAAGAUUGGCGGAAGAUUGGACGCUGAUGGUCAGUCCCCUCCGGAUUCCUUUAAGCACACAGACAUUUCUACAGCACGUGUUAUGGGCCCGACAGGCGUGUGGGGCUGCCAGGAUCCAGGUGGGACCACUUUCUCCAUUACAGCAGGUUAGGAGUGUAUUCAUCUCAUAGCAUACCUGCCAGACUCACUAUGUGCUGACAGCAAAAGGUGAGUCACAGGUGUAACACUGAAACCCACAUUUCCAAACUAUCCUGCUUUAAAUCUACAAGAGACAAAGAAAGGCAACACAUCGAGCCCUCCCUGUCUGCUGUCAGCACAGCAAGCCUACGAUCCGCAGAGUGAACUCUGGCUCUGCUGUGUGCUGUGUCCUUUGCCUGUGGACCUCCUGUGUCCCACAUAAACCAGAAGCAAUGAGAGUAAGGAGGGCACUUGUUCUUAGUACCGUUUUUCUCCUUGUUGCAGUUCUUGCAGGGGGAAGGGCUGUUUACUCACCUGUGUUUGCACAUGUAUUCUGGCUGCUCUUCAUCCUGUCAGCAAGCAGCAAGGGCCCGUAUAUUCACAAAAAGGUCAGCAAAAUACCCCAGCAGAUGGAUGGGGCCCCCUUCAAACCAUCCAUUGCCAUAACGUGGUGCCUUGAUGCCGUAGCUAAAAGUGAUUCGGUCGAAACAAACUGAUCUGGGGAGGAAAGAGGGAGAAGGGAGGAGGACAGCAUGCUGUUCCCCACAUGCUGCUUUCUGUCUUAACUUGUUACCUUUUGUAAUGCAAGUAACUGCAUCUUCAUGUGGAAUUCUUCUGCCAGGCCCUGAAAUCAAACAGUGUAUUAAGAUAGCAGCCCUCACCAUCAGGGCUUGGAAAGUAUGUUUAUUACACAUUUCUUCCAUUAAAAUCCAUUUCUACAACUGAAUUUGAAUAUUGAUUUCAGGGUACAAGUUCAAUUAGAAUGCAUAAAAAAUGCUCUGCCUUUUCCUUUCUUUCACUAUUGCAAUUACCUUUCUUGAUAUGAACAUAGGAAAGCUUUACUAAAAUGUGAGCUGUUUGUUAUGUAUACCUGUUUUUUUUCCUUUACUCCUGUAGUUUUUCAACAAAGAAAGGAAGAACUGAUAUAAACUCCGGGGGGAUUUUUUGAAGUCUAUUCAAUAGUAAUGUAAAAUGCAAAUUAAAUAUUUGUUCAAUGUUUAGUCGUUCCUCAGAGACUAAAUGAAGUUCUUCAUCACGACCUCUAUGCCGACCUUCGCAUCAAAUUAGGAAGUUUUGGUGUUUAGGUAGAACCACGCACGUUGUCCCUGGAAGCAACUGGAAAGAAGAAAUGAAUAUUUCACAGCAACUGCAAUUUGUUCCAGGGAUCUGUAUUCAUUUUGUGCCAUAUCUGCUCACCGAAGACUACAAUUUACCUUUUUAGAAUUUCAUUUAAUGAUCUGACAUUUGCGACACUUCCUAAUUAAUUCUGUCUCUGCCUAAGCCAGCUGUGAUAAAUAUAACCUGUGCAUACAGGAUUACAUUGUUGCAUUUAGAAAAUACAUCAGAGAAGAAAGGUGAAUCUUCCAUGAUAGGAAGUUCACAUCAGCUGUACCAUAAACUAUGCAGCUCUUGCUGUUAACCUGAAAUAGCCAGCAUGCUAAAUAGUGUGAAGCGCUGUGCCACAUGGGUCGGUAAAAGCCUGUUUACUUCUUCAGGGAACAAUUUUAAUGGCAAAAACUGUUUUUCAGCACGUGCAAGCAGUUGUUUCUGAGCUUGGCACUUGUAGGAUGCUUGCUUACAAGGAGCUCAGUGCCCAGAGUAGUUCUCAUCUCAGACAUGUUCACACAGAAGCGGUCAGCGUGAGGAGAUUCAGCAGGCAGGCAGUGUGUGCAAUGCCCUCGUAACACAGGGGGAACCUCAGGCUGUGUCCCAUUGCUGGGCUAACUGGGGGACACUGGUUCUAAAUGUCAUGGUGUGAAAACAGUCUGCAGCAGUUCAGUUUCACGUGCCACAAGAUGUGCUUUUCCAUCAAGGAGCAAAAAUCUAUAGAAUAAGACUGUGACAGAUCUUGAGCUGCUCAUUGUUUUCUGUGUAACAGAUCAAGCUGUAGAGCAAAUAGUAAUUGUAAAAAAACUGGAAUAAGUAUGAGUUCUAAAUUACUGUUUCUAUGGUGACUUUAAUAAAUAUUCUUUGGAAGAUAAAUUUAGAUACCGAGGAACAUAAAUGCUUCCUGCCUUCUGUUCCAGACAAAAAUAGAAUCCUCUCUGCACCGCGAUACGUUUCAGACACAUUUGGCAUCUCUUCCCCAGAUUGACACUUUUUCUGGGUGAUUUAUCUUUUCACAGGAAGUAGAGGAUGGGCUGUAAAUAUUAGUUGAUGUAGUCUGGAAGAAAUUGUGAUUUGGCAAGAGGUGGCUUGUAAUAACAGAAGUAGUCCUGAUACAGAAAAGGAAAAUACUGCAGCUGCAAAUUGGACUUGCCGAAUGCCGGGCCGAAGUAAUACAAAAAGCAUUUUUCCUUUCUUUCUUUUCCUCCUGUGUGUGCAGAACUAAUGACUCGAGGUAAAGCUAGAGCUUUCAUUUUUAACCAGAAAUAAUUGUUAACCAGAAAAAUAACUGCCUCCGGCUGGAGUCUUCCAUUUGAGAGGCAGCAGGAGCGAGCGGGGCUGGGAGCUCUCCUGCAGGUCGCGCUGGGUUUGGUUUCGUAGCGGAGGUGUCCCUCCAGUGGCUUGUCAAAAAAAUGCAGCGUUAGAGGAGAAGUAUUUUAUAUCACAACAUGAAAUGAGGUGUUCUCACGUCUCCCAGUGCUAACGACCCCUUAUUACCUUAGAAACAACGUCAGUAUCGGGUGGGAGAAUUAGGCUGAGAUGAGUUCAGUUCAUCCGAUGAACAAGAAGCAUGGGCCAUGUUCUCUUCAAUGGAAAAGAAGAAUGAAAGCGGAGAUCCACCUUUAUUUAUCAUGUCAUGUAUUUACAUCAUCUCAAUUGUCAGUAACAAACCCAUGAGAAUACGUUUCUUAUCCCGAAGUUUAUAAUCAAAGGAAAAAAAAAAUAGGAAAUAUGGUAAAUAAUGAAAAAAAAGUAUAUUAUUCAUUAUUAUAUAUACGUAGUCUGCGUAAUAUCAAAGCUGGCUUCUUCUUAAGUCUUACUGCAAAAGAGAAUUGAAAUAAGAGCUUGGAAGGCUGGUAACAAUGGAGCUUGGCAGCUGUUUGCAGGAUGGCUCUCCCAAGCCUGAGGGCCUGAUGGAAGAAUGUAUUAUGGGCGUUUGUUGAAAAAAUGAACAGGUGGGUGAUGGCACUCUGGCACAGAGUAACCACCUCGAGAGACAGCCAAAGCUGGUGUGAAAGGUAGGGAACCAGCCAAGGUGGGCCCUGAGAGGCUGUGUUCAGUGUAAUUGAGAAGUGGUCAGUGGUGGCCUUGCAAAAAGAAAGGUGAGUGGUGACCCAGGCUUCAGAAUGAGCUGUGGUGUCCUUGGCUAGUAGCAGAGUGAAAGAAAAGGACCUGCAGUGAUCCAGGAAUGAAACAUGGAUAUCUGGAGGAGAGCUUUUUUUUGUGUGUGUGUUGAUGGGACGUGUUGGCUGUUGGAGAAGUCAGCAGUCAAGAACUACUGACUACUGGCUACAUCUCAGUCAGGUUGAGAGCCUGGAUGACCCAGAAUUGGUCAUGAUUCCUUGAUUAGGGAAGGAUGCAGAAGGACAAGAGUCACUGGGAGGAAGGAUGAAAAAUUCCACCCAAAGUGAUGGCUGCGUACCUACAAAGAUAUGCCAGGGUUUUAGUCCAAAUGGGAAAGGUAGGAUUCAGCUCAUGCUUAGUAUAGCUUUCUGCCAGGGUAACAGGAAUCAGAGCAUAAGUCUCUUUCCUGUUCUCACUGAUUUUCACAGCACUUGAUUUUUUUUUCCCAUUAAAUGUGAAAAUAAAAGUUUUAUAAUCUUCAUUUUAUGGAUGUGAUUUAUUUUGCUGUAGAGCUGCUUAAUUCUCUGCCAUAUCGGGAAUGACAUUUGCCGUGGAUGCCAGCCAAUAAGUUUGUGAAAGUUUUCUGGUUCCCUGGAAACCCUCCCUAACAUCCCACCCUGCCUGAAGUUUAGACAAUGACACAUCUCAGCGUUACAUACUUCCCAUGCUUCAGUUCUGAAAGGAUUUUUCCUUUUUGCAUAUGAAGAUGAUGUGACAUAGCCUAGAUUGGCUUUUGAGACAUUCUUGACAUGCUCGAGAUGCUCCGUGUUUAAGAGAAAUGUUUAUUUUACAGUUCACAGCCAAGGGCAGCUGGCCUGGCUCAGAAUCCAUUGACUGCAUUGGGAAUUGGCUCUGGCUGAUAUUAGCUGCCCUGAGCCCGCCAACACAUACAUGACUGACCAAAAGCAUAAACCUGAGAAUUGGGGGAAUUGUGCUGCCAGCUAAUAAAAAAAUAAAAAUAAAUUAAAGAGAAAAAAAAAAAGAGCUUAUUAGAUAAAACAAAAAGAAUGAUGUUUGGCGUUCAAUUCUAAGAGGAUUUACCUUCACCCAGGCCUUAACUGGUUUAGAGCACUGCUGAAAUGUGGAUCUGGGCCCCAGUCCAGUAUUGCCUGGGAAGAGGAGGCACAAAUCAGUAUUGCUGGAGACCAGGCUCCAGCCUAAGAGACCCAAGCAAAGGAUCAGCAAGCCCCUGUGGCUGCACUUCCACAGUCCAACAGUUGAAAUUGGAAUGCAAGUUGCUCUACUGAAGUUAAAAAAAAAAGAAGUUUAAUAACUAAUAAUAACAUAAUAACGUUCUAAAGGCUCUCUCUACAUGUAGACAAGUCUUGCAGUGUUUCCUGAGGCUAUCAGGGAGACUUCCAGCAGAUUUCCAGAUUUUUUUGCACUGUCUCCUAUUUGCAGAGCAGCUGUUUCCUCCAAAAUAAGUGGGAUUUGCUCCUGCUGGCUUUAUCCCUUUUACACAUAAAAUAACAUGGGUAGAACAAUAACAAACAGAUGUGAUGUAUGAUAUAUCAUAAAAUCUAACAGCGACAUCUCUCUCCAGCCCAGGAGGGUUAUUUAAUUUAUCAGGUUUAACGAGUGUUCAAGCAGUUUAUGACACAUACUGAUUCAUGCAAUCUAAAUGCAGCUAUGUCAUUAAUAUCAUAUAAAUCUUUUUAAGCAAGAAUCUAUUCUUUCACGCCAAAAAGAAUGGUAUCUGUGCUACACCAUGGCCAUGUGCUUCAUCAAAUAAAUUCAAUUGGGAUUAGGCUAGUGAUUUCAAAUAAAAUUAUUCUGUACUAAAAGCAAGUUUAUUAUUUUCUAGUAUUAGUUCUGUUCCUGUGCUCUGUUAGUAGGAGGGUGCUGAAACUGUGCAAAGAGUAAGAAACCCAGCAGACAGAUUGGGCUUCAGGGGUGCUGUAAUUUUAUUCUCCAUUUGUGAAAUCUGUGUGCAGUUGUUAGUAAUAAAGGCCAUACAUAACACCUAUUACAGGAGACAACACAGGACUUAAAUUAAUAAUAUAGUGCAGGGUCAAGGUCAAAGAGCAUUUUGAUAGCUAAAUCAUCAGCGUUGUUUUCAUGUACAUAUAUGUCUCGUCCCCAGCCAUACGUUAUUUUGAAAUAGCCAUCUAUACAUCACUAAUGGACUGAUGAGAGCUUCUGGCAAUGCUCCAAAAGAUGUAAAGUGCAAAUCACAGUUGGGAACUGGCAAAUUUCUAGUUUUAUUUUUAGUUUUUAAAAUACGAAUGGAAUUUCUGGGGGUGAGAAGGAUACCAGUAAAAUAUUUCCCAGGCUUCAGAAUUAUCAUCCUGAAACAAUUCAAGUAAUGCUUUACAGAUCUGCAAAAUCCCAGUCAAGAAAUUUUAAAACAGAAAAACUAGGCAAGGUAGGGAUGAUGGUCACUUUCCUUACAAUAUAAAUUGAUACUCACAUGUUUAUUUUGAAAGCUUAUCUUAAUCAUAAUAAAAUGUUUGAAGCUAAGUGUAUAAAGUCAUAAAGAUAUGGAACCCACUUUAAAUGAUACUGAGCAGUGAAUGGUUACUACAGCUAGCCUUGAUACAGCCACGUGUACAUCAGCAGCAUCCUUGAGUACAAUUUGAUAAUAUAGUAGUCCUCUACUGAGGCAAUUUUAUUUAGAAGUUGUGAUGCAAAUUUAAACUAUAUUGAAAUCUUAACUUCAGAAUAAAUUACCCAUUUUAACUUGGGCAGAUCACUUAGGAUUAGAUUUUCAAGCAGAACAUGGUCACUCGAGUGCUUAAGAAGAGCACUGUCACCUGUCAGCCACCUCAAGGCUUGGUGUCAAGAGAAGGUAAGCUGGCCUCACAAAGUGUUGUAGGGGAGGGGGUUGAGAAAGCCUAGCUCUAUAGGAAGCUGUCCUAUGGGGAGAACUCCUUAUUAAAGGUAGGCAUGGAGAUCAUCUCCAUGUGACACCUAGAAGGCAAAGGUACUGCUGUAGGCAGACAGAGCCCAUCGCACAGUGCUCACAGCUCCCAAAGGCUGGAGGGGCCUUGCUCAGCAUGUGUGGCGUUGGCUAUAUUGUAGAGCUGAAGCUUUUCUACACCGCGUGAAAUCCUUAAAUUGCUCUUUUAAAGAUGACUGGUUAUUAUCCUGAGCUGCUGCCCAUGGAGCAAUUCCUAAAGGGUGUUACAGAGCCAUGCUGGAGCAGCUCCUGAAGGAUGGGCCCCAUGGAGUGGACCCAUGUUGGAGCAGUGCUUAAAGAAGGAGCCUGUGGGAAUCCCACCUAGGAUCAGUUGGGGAAGGACAGCAUCCUGUGGGAGGGACAGGGGAAGAGAGGCGAUCGUGGAAGAACGGCAGUGAUGAAGUGUUUGAGACUGACCGCAGUCCCAUUUCCCUGCACCACCUGGGAAGAGGAGGUAGAAGAGGGUGGAUGAAGGGAUGGUGUUUGUAGACUGGGCAGGAAGGCUUUCAGCUUUGGCGUCAGAAUUGCUAUUCUAUCUCUUCGUUUUAAGCCCACAGAAAGGAGAUUACACUUUUUCCCCAGCUGUUGAUAGAGUGGCAAGGAAAAAAAUUCUAGAAGUGGCAAGGGCAUUAUAACUAAAAGCUGGAUAAAUAGAGACAAUUUACCUCAAUGGUUCUGAAUCUAAGGCUGAAACAGAGCAGGAAAAUUUUGUCUGUCUAGAAUGAAUGACUUUGAGAAGAGUGAAAAGCCUAGAAGCAGACUCCAAAUUAAAACUAUAUUUUUCUCUCUUCAGAGGAAAACUGGUUAAAACACAAAGCAGAGGGUAGGAGUGGGGCUGAAUCGCGGUGUGACAAGGAAGGACCAGGCACUGAACACACCCCGCACCAGCAAGUCUGAAGACACACGUACCCAGUUAUACUGCCCUAACAUGCUUUACUACAACUCAAUCACCAGAGCCUCAUAAUAGAAUCAUAGAAUCACUGAGAUUGGAAAGACCUCUGAGAUCAUCAAGUCCAACCGUCCACCUACCACCAAUAUUGCCCACUAAGCCCCUCAGUACCAAUUUUACAGGCAUUUCUUGGACACCUCGAGGGACAGUGACUCCAUUACCUCCCUGGGCAGCCUGUUCCAGUGCUUGACCACUGGAGAAGUUGCUGUUUUUUCCUAAUAUCCAACUUGAAACUCCAUGGCAGGAAAUACUAUAAAGAAAGGGAUGCACCAAAUGGAGGUGAGCCUCUGAAAGCUGUCAUCAUCCCAAUCUGUAAAGCUGUAGGAAUGAAGAAGAGAGCUGGAGCCGAGAGGAGAUGGGGAGUGAAAGGACCUUACAGAAGGAGAGGCUGAGAGCAACGAGGUCCCUUAUAACAGUGCUGGGAAUCAUACAGAGGUGACAUAAUUAAGCCACUCCUCGUGAUGCUUUGAGUCAACCAUACGCUUCAGGAAAGAUGCAGUUUGAAAAGAUGAAGGUGUGAGGAAUGAGGAAAAAGAAAGAAAAAGGAUUUUUAAUAAAGAAUCAUCCAUUUGUAGUCCAUUCACAAUUUGCCAAAUCUCUGCUGCUCAUACCCAGAGCAGUGCUGUCCUACAGCAGUGGGCAGGCGGCUUGGUAGGCACGUGUGGCACUCGUAGCAUGGAGCUGCUCUGCUAGCAGGCUUAUGCCACACUGUCACGGCACAGCUUGUGCUAAUGUGAGUGUGCUCAGAGCACGCCUGGUAUUUUUGGAAGCCUGAGGCAGACUCAAAAUAGCUGAGUGCUGAUGUGUCUGGGAUUAGGAGACUGGACUCAUGGUAGCAGGCCAUGCAGCCCCAAGGAGCUGCUGUCAGUGUUCUACCCAUGCCCCACUGUCAGUACAAUCUGCUUGGUAGUCUCAUAAACUAAGCCAGAGGCAAAAUACACGCUCUGUGGAGUCAAACAACCAGCCUUGAGUAUCUGUGGGAGGCCUGGCCAUUCCAGCUCCUCAUUUUGCUAUGAGUGGUCCUCCAGACAUCCUUCACAGCAGCCAUUUUGUCACCACUCACAUCCUUCCCUUUCUCCAGCCAGGCCAGCUCACCUCCAAAUCCAGCAGCGUGCUGCAUUGGUCUUUACAGAUUUAAAUCCUUCACACUGCCUUGGGGCCAGUUUUAUAAUUGUGAAAGCUGACAGACCUAGAAGGAGGACGUAGGCAUUGGUCCCAUUGCAAAGACAUUACCCUUAGGGCCUGUAUUCAAUUUUUUUUUGCUUCCAAUCUUUUCCACAAUUGGAAAUGAAAAGAAAAAAAAAAAAUAACCCUUUUUCUGUUGAAGUUGCUGGAAAAAUCCAGUCCAUGUAUGCUUUGAUAGGAGACAGUCUAAUCCUCUUCUUGCUUGAGUGGUCUCUCCAAUUUCUGCCGUGGAGCUGACAAGUCCCCUUGGGUUUAUGGUGAGGGAUUUUUUUAGACGAUGACUCUUUUUUUUUUUUUUUUUUUGCUCUGUUGAUUUUACCUCAGGGGAAAUCACUGAGAAUUUUUUUCCACAAGAAAUAGCUUCUCCUUAUUUAUUUAGAUAAGCUUUCUAAUUCCAUUAAAGGUAGCUGUUUUGGGGGCCUUUUAAAAUGUUCCUUCAUUUGCUCUGAAUUCUUGAGAUCUUGCAGCAUCUCCUUACACUAGUUGGUUGGGCCAGUCAGGGUUACAUUAGGCCUGUCUAGCAAGUGGGGUGAUAUAUUUAAGGCCCUUGCAGGGGACAGUUACAGGUCUGUUCUGGUUCAGCAGAGCUGAAGGGAAGCCAGAAGAGAAUGGGUGACAUUGCUUCUGCAUUAAACCAUGCCCCAGAAAUGUGAGUACCUGCAAUUGGCCGGUUACAAAUGCAGAAGAUAAAUAAUUGAAGGAGUUGAAUAACAUUCCUGUGAUGGAUGUGCAAUUUUUUUUCUCUAAAACAGGAAUAUUUAUUCCUAUAGCCCUGCUCUAUGUCACAUUCAGGAGUCACAGACACAGCACAGGAACAGCUGGAUAAAGAUUUAGAAGCUGAAUAAUGCCAAAGGCAGAAGUGUGUUGCCAUAGCAGUUCCUCCAAACACCAUUUAAACCGUUUGGUUUUGUUUUCUCUUGACAAAUAUGGGAUAAACUAAUUACAUUGCUUUUUCAGAUAGGAAGUGAAAUAAAACCCCUUAUCUCUGGGAAAGCCCUCAGAUAUGACUGUAAUUGUACAAAUACUUGCACUGCAAAUACCAUUAGGGCAAGCAAUGAGAGCAGAAGGGUGGAGCGCAGCACUCGGCAGAUCUCCCCAUCUCCACUUCUGGUGCCUCUAGAUUUCAGGGAGAAGCAGAAGUGUGUUAUCUCAGUACUGGGAGGAAGGGAGAGUGCACUGUGGGGCUGAAUUCAAUUUUUAUAAGCUACGAGAUUGUUUAAUCUUGCUCUAUGUUAUUUCUCUGUGUGCUCUCUUUAUGAAAUGGCACAAUUGAGGUGCUGCUCUGAAGAAUUAAUGAGCUAAAUGGACUGAAUGAAGUGCAAAAGAAAGGGAUUAAUUUGCCUUAUUUUAUACACAGGGACCCAAAUGAACAGCUGGUUGGUAACCAUUUUAGGACUGACUAAAGAAUACAAGAACAGAUUCAAGAACUACGUGCAGAUCCCCCAAGUCCCAGGCUGCUCAUUUAACCAUGAAAGCCUUCUUCUGAAGAACAGUUAGGCUUGCAGUGUGGCCAUGAAUCACACAUCAAACUGCCCCGAGUAAUAUAAUAUGCAAUGCCCAAAGCUAGGAAUUGGAGAAAACCAAAUGGGCUCUCAAGAAGAAAUUGUAACAGACUUUUACAAAGUAGAUAAAUAUCAGGCUAAUGAGCUGGGAAAUUCAGCUGUAUCAAAAAUGAGGAAACUUACAAUACAUAAAGAUCUUGGCUGAUGCCUAAUAAAGUUUAAAAGGCUGUUUAAGAACAGCCUCAACCUGACCUAUACAGUAAGGAACAUGCCACCCUCUUCCUAAGGGAAAGCAGAGUGUUGCUUUACUUACGAAGUCAGGAACCUGACAGGAGUACAUUAAGUACAGUGGAGCAAGGCUCUUUCUAGAAACAGAAAUGAUAUGAAAUGAUGGGGGUUUACUGUGUGAGUAUCUGAGCUAAUCAGUAAAGUGCUCCAUGUUUGGAGCAGUACAAAUUAGUUGGCAAGGACUGCUUAAAGGUAAUGUGAGUAGAUGGGAUUUUUUAACCAUUGCACUGGGAAGGAUACAUCAUGAUGUAAUUCACUGAAUAUCAACAUCUACUAGGGCAAAUAACACAGCAAAAUCUAGGGCUAGAUUAAUGUUUGGUUAGUUGCAUUCAGAAAGGCAUUGUGCACUCCAAAAGGAAUAGGAAAGCCAUUUCAGGAUCUUUCAUAUAAGGUACAUCCUAGUAAUUUCAUCAUUAUGGUAAUUUCAUCAAAUUAUGGCCCAGUUCUGUGGGAGCAACGUAUUAUUUCUAUUAUUUGGAAAUUCUGUUUCUAGGCAAAAUAAAAUAUCCUUUAAGAGUGAGAUUCAGUGAUAUACAUGGUACUAACUUAUUUAUGAUAAAUAUAUGAAGCAAUAAAUGAGUCCAGAGUUUUACCUCAGUCUGCGUUCACAGAACUGCAGGGGUUGGAAAGGGCCUCCAGAGAUCAUUGAGCCCAACCCCAUUGCUGCAGGGGCUUCCUUACAGUAGGUCACACAGGCUGGUGUCCAGAUGGAUCUUCUCCAAAGAGACUCCAAAACCUCUCUGGGCAGCCUGUUCCUGUGCUCUGUCACCCUCACUGUAAAGAAGCUCUUCCACAUGUUUGUGUGGAACUUCCUACGGUCCGAUUUUUGGCCAUUACUCCUUUGCCAUAUCGCUGUGCUCCAUGGAAGAAUUCAGCCUCAUCCUGCGCUUCAGAUAUUUAUAAACACUGAUCAGAUUCCGUCUCAGUUUUCUCUUCUCUAGACUGAACAGCCCCAGGUCUCUCAGUCUUUCCUCACAGGGGAGAUGCUCCAGGCCCUUUAUCAUCCUUGUUGCCAUCUGCUGGACUCUUUCUAGGAGAUCUCUGUCUUUUUUGAACUGAGGAGUCCAGAACUGGAUGCAGUGUUCCAGAUGUGGCUUCACCAGGCAGAGCAGAGGGGCAGGAUCACCUCCCUCAGCCUGCUGACCACUUUUCUUCUAUGCAGCCCAGGAUAUGGCUGGCUUUCUGCACUGCGAGGGCACACUGCUGGCUCAUGUCCAGCUGCCAUCCACCAGUGCCCCCAGAUCCUUUUCAGCAGGGCUGUGCUCUAUCCUUACACUUACCAGCUGGUACUUUUAGCAGGGCUUGCAACCCAGGUGCAAGACUUGGCAUCUGGAUUUGUUGAACUUCAUGAAGUUCACCUGGGCUCACUGCUCAGCCUGUCCAGGCCUCUCUGGAUGGCAUCCCAUCCCUCGGUGUGUUGACUGCACCACACAUCAGGGCCUCCUUAAUCCCUUUGCCUAUGAGAGGCACAAAAAGAGGACUCAGCCCGCAGUUAAGCUGCUUAUUUACUACAGAAAGAAAAGUAGGAACAGCUUCAUAGAAAGACAGCUCUAGGUAAUGUCUUGCACAGCUAUUGGGCAAAGCAGCUCUGCUUCCCUGCAGUUAAAUUGGUCUGUGUUUUUCCUUUCUGUCAGUAUUGUGGAAAUUAACAAGUCCUCAGCGCUGGCCAUCAUCUCCCAGUGAGUGCGGGGAGGUGAGAGCAGGUGCUCAAUGGUGUUCCCCCUUCCUCUUCCUCCUUCCUCCAGCUCCUCUAUUCCCCAUGCUGCAUCCUUCCCUGCCAGCACAGCUUCACACCUGCUCGACCAUGUUCGAACUUUAAAAACAGAUGUUUUCUUGAUCAUCACCUUCAGAAAAAAUUCUUAAUAAAAGUGGAUAUUAAUACAUAUAUAUUUAAAUAACUCAGCAGCACUGAAUAAACAGCCUUCACACUCCAAAGGUAAAGGCAUUAUUUCAUGAAAGCAAGCACUCUGACUGCAAGACACAGACCGCUAUCGAUUGCCAGUCUCAUAAAUCACAUUUAUUUUCCAAAUAAUAGGAAGAUUCAUUGUUUUCUGCCAAGCAAUGUCACCUGGUAAUAGGAGUCAGUCAAAGCAACAGUAAUUUUCACACCAUAAAAACAGUAUCAAGUCUGUUCAUUGAGUAGGAUGAAUGCUAUUGAUCAGGGGGGAAAUAAAUAAAUAAAACGGGAGACAAAAGUAAAGAAAUUAAGUGGUGAUGUAUAGAUGUGCAAUGAAAAGUCUGUUAACAUUUCCAUUAUUCAGCUUCCCUCCACAAGACCAACUGUAACAUAAAAAGCAGCGGAAAUGUCCCACCCUGGCUGCAGCUUAUCAACAUGAAAACAGCCCCAGAGCGUUCAACUGAAUUGGCUUUCUCUGCUGCACAGAGACACGGGGCUGAGGGAGUGGGGCUGCAGAGGAGUCACCACCAGGGGAAAGCACAGAGCGAUGGGGCCACAGCCACUGCUGGGGUUCACUCACAUGCACAAUAAAUGGUGCUGCGAGAGAAGUUGAACGUACAAAUUCCUAAGGUCAGAAUUCACCCAAACACACACUAAAAACAAGCAAACAAAAAUCCUGAAGGACCCUGUUUGCUGCUUUUUUAUGACUGCAGUGUUUUAAUCCAGUGCUAGUAGUGCAGCCAGCAGUAAUGGGAAAGAAAAGCCAGUUCAGGAAGCCCUAUGAGCUCAUCUGCCUGUCUCUGGGCACCUUUGGAUUAAAUUGAAAAGCAUGAAGCCAGUCUCUCAAUUCUUGAAUGUCAUAGAACAGAAUCUUAGAAUGAUUAUAGUUGGAAAAGACCUCUAAGAUCAUCUAGUCCAACCAUGCACCUACCACCAAUAUUGCCUGCUAAACCAUAUCCCUAAGUACCACAUCUAUACACUUCCACAUUAUUCCUUCGUACUGUUAGCUCUUUGACAGCAACAGGUGAUGGUAUCACUGUUGAAGUCAGCAGAAAGUAGCCCUAAAAUAAAAGCAUGUCUCCUCGGCUUGGAGAACCACUCUUGACCUGAUGACUCCAGUUUUAAAUUGACCCGUGGCAACAACAGGCUGAUGACUGCUCUGGGUGGAAAAUAGGUUCUGAAGCAACUCAUUAUUAGCAACUUUAACAAAACAUUGCUACACCACGGACCUAAACCUAACAGCUAACUAGCCUAGGAAAAACUUAGUAAUCUCUGCAUGAACCAGUGUCGUUUCAUAAUUGUUCUGGUAGAAACAUCUUUAGCUCUUCAGCUUUCUCAGCUGACACAUCACAAUAAAACAUGAUAUGAGGUGACUCACUGCCAUCGUGUUCUAUCACAUCCCAUCACCUAAUGCAACCUGAGACUUGCAUUACACACUAGCUGAAUAAUAUUUUCCUAAGCAUUCAUGAUAGAAAAAUCUGUGUUUCCAAGGGAAGACAGUGCGUUGAUUAAAAAAUUGCCACCAGUGCACCUGAAUUCUGCUGAGAAAGAAGAGAUGUUGGGCUCAGGUACACACAAAAAUGCUCCUGCUGACCACAGCAGGGCCGUUACAGGAGCAGAGGCACUGCAAGCAGAAAUCCUGUUGCUCAGCUUGUGUCUUGCCUGGUUGGGCAAACAUGAUGGCUGAAUGUGAUGUUCUUAUGGGUCUUUUCCAACCUUCGUCAUUCUAUGAUAAUCAUAAAGUGAAGAGGGAUCUAAAGCAGAGUUGCAGAGCUCUAAAAGCAUGAGAGAUUCUGAUACAAGCUUUUGGGGGUUGGAUCCAGCUAGGCAAUGGGCCAGCACUGACUUUGCACUUUAACAAUCAUUUGAUCUCCUGCACCCUCCCAUCUCUGCAAAUCCUCCCCUACCAUCAAUGAUAUUUCCUCAUGACUAACUGCCCAGCUGAUUAAGAUUUCCCAGAUGAAACUGGUGACCCUAAAACCCAGUGAGUGAAUGCUUGAAUGCAGCCUUCCCUGAACAAAAUGUGCUGAGAAUAGGGAUGAUCUCAGCCCUGAUUUCCACAUCUGGGAAAUACCAUCUGGAUAGGGGACAAAAUGAGUUUGAAAGGGGAAAAGCUGUGCGACAUGCAGUGCUGCAGAAAUCAGGGAUAUGCACACCAUCAGCCACUAGGGACUGCUAGAUGACAUGGGUGGGAAGGAAGGGGAAGGAAGGGGAAGGUGUGAGAAAGAGGAACUCUUUACCCAGAGAGCGGUGAGGCCCUGGCACAGCUGCACAAAGAGCUGUGGGUGUCCCAUCCCUGGAGGUGCUCAAGGCCAGGUUGGAUGGGGCCCUGGGCAGCCUGAGCUGGUGGGUGGCAACCAGCCUAUGGCAGGGGGUUAGAACUAUAUGAUCUUUAAGGUCCCUUCCAACCCAAGCCAUUCUAUAGUUCUAUGACCAAGCACUGGGGAUACCAGCAUGGCAAUGAGCUCACAUUGAGCUUAAUGGGAAAAUCAGGCGUAGUGUGGAAAAGGUGAAUGAGAAUGUGGUGUUCCAGGUCUCUUCUAAGGAAAGGAUGGAGGAAGGGAGAAAGCCAAAGGGAGAGGUUUAAAACAAAUGCAAUCUCUCUUCUCCCAGCAGAUUCCUUGCCGUAGGACAUUGUGUCCAUUAUGCAAUUUCCUAGGAAAAUGGAAAUCAAUGCAAACAAAAAUUAAACAACAUUUCUAGAUCCAGGAGCCUCUGACAUUGAGUGCCACAGCUGGGAAAAUAUUGCAGUGAAGUGUUAUUACGUGCUCAGCCUGUUCUCAUGCUCUCCUCUAGGCAUCCACCAUUACUCACUAACAAAGGAAGGCCAGUGGGCCAGGGAGGGAACAAGUCAUUUUUGUGGGUGUAAAACAUGACUCACAGUGCUGGGCAGGACCUGGUGCUGGUUACCCACUGACUUGGAUCCAAAAGCAGCGUAGCACAGGUUGUCACAACACUACUGGUACAGCAGGUUGUGGCUUGUAUCUGCUGCAGGAUCGAGUCAUGCACCUUUGGUGCAUGUCCGCUCCAGGUGCUGUGGAAAGUGUCUAUUUAGUGCUCCUCCAUGGCUGUUUGAAGCUCAUUAAUGCUCUGAGUGCUCAGUUAAUUACAGGAGCUUCAACCUUCUCUCAGUCUCACGUAGCAGUAUACAACCAGCAUUGCUCUCUCAGCAUAUUAAAGCAUCCAAGGCUGUCCAAAACCCAGGCAGAAAUAUGUAUUUCUUAAAUUUUAUCUUUAUACAUUACUGAGAUAGGAGACAGAAGUUGGGCCUGGUGAUCCCUAUGGGUCACUUCCAAUACAGGCUAUUCUGUGGUUCUAUGAGAUGUGUUCUCCUACCAGGUGAUCAACCACUCUGUACUGUAAGCUUUCAUCUUAAACUCUUGAAAGCAAAUUCUGUUUUUUAAAUUAAGGAAAUUCUCCCAAGCCUAACUCUUUAAUAUUGGGAUAAUGUAAAAACACUUUCCAUAUCACAACACAUUGCAAGCACUGGCAGCCUACAGGAGAAGUGAGCCACUCUGCAUUGACCAAAGGAUGAGCACUUCCCAAACAAGGGAUGGAAAAAAUGAUGUGAGCUCUGUAAGUAGAAAGGUGCAUGUGCAUGCCAAUGGAAACAACUCUGAGGAGAUGCAAUCAAGCCGUGCAUAGAGGUAUUGUUCCCUCUUUGGGGAUGUUUUAGGAAAUCUGUGAUCACUUCCAGACAGACACAGAGGUGUCUUCCUGAAAUCAAAGUAUUCAGACUCACUAUGAGAACGUGCCUUUAUUUUCCCACGACACUCACUUUUUGGGCUGGCUUUGCAGUGACAACAUGAGGCAUCCUGGAAGAAGGAAGUUCUGAGGUGCUACAGUUCAGGAUAUGCAAAAUAUGUGAGUGAGUAGUCUAUUCCUUGUGACAAGAGCAAUGAGGUAACCUAACCCUGCACAUGGAAGCAUCCCCUCAGAGCAGCUCAGCACUUUGGCAAUGCUUCUCCUGCUGUCAGUAGCUAACAGCUGCUGUCAGAGGGCACCAGCAAAGUACUUAGUAAAUCUGACACUUCCCAAUAACCCACCCAAGCCUUUUCUGCUGCAAAAUCUUGUGGGAAGCCAAAGCACAUGGACACAAGGCAGCUGAAUCUGUUACUGUUUCAAAUAUAAGCAUUUUUUUUAAACCUGAGCAUCUGUAGACCACUCGAAGCUCCCCAAUUUCAAUCAGCAGAGAGGAAAUUUGCUUUGCCUUGCUUAGAGCUCUCAGUGCUACAGGUAGAAAUGGGCAGAGUUCUGCAAAUAGUGAUAAAAAGCCUCUGAAGAUCUGAUUCCAACCCACACACUGGGAAGAGAAGAAUGAAACAUAUUUAAUCAUGCGUGGUGCUACCACUCCCCCUGUCAACAUAAGAAUUAUGGCGAAGGGAGAAAGAUGCUUGACAGGAAAGAUGGAGUGAGAAGGAGAACACUGAAAUACGAGCUAAGUUUGAACAUACAGAGAUGGUGAAGGGCCGGAGGACAAGGUGGACGACGAGCACUGAGGCCCCUGGGUUUGCUGGGCACAGAGCAGUGGAGCUGAGGGGAGGGCUCAUGGCCAUACAGCUCCUCACAGGGAGUGGGGGGCAGCACUGAGCUGUGCUCUCUGCAGCAACAACAGGGCCUGAGGCAAUGCAUUUUUUUCAGGGUACCUGAUUUCUUUCCAGAAGGAGCAUCUUCGAGGUGUGUUAUAUCAGUGACCACAUACAUGAACCAUGAGAUGGCUCUGAAAUGUAGGGAAGAAGCAGCUAAGCCAACAUAGAAAGCUGGGGUUGUCUUACCUUUAGGAGUGGUGCUUCCAGGUCUGAAGGCUGCCCCGGUACGAUCGUGGUCUGGGCAAACAACUUGAAAGCACAUUUUUAUCAGUUUGACACCUAUUCUCCCCGAGAUCAUUAAAGAUCAAAGUCUUGCCAAACCACAGUUCAAAGAGCAGGCUGUGCACAUCUCUAAAAGGUGUGGAAAAGAAACCCUGAAUUUAAACCAUUUUCAUAGCAGCAGGAGCAAGAACUUUUAUCUCUCGCUGCUUUGCUUGUUUGUGAUUGUGUCCUCCACCUGAAGGAAGAUAAGACUGUUUUGUUUUCAGUGUAUCAUCUUAAUUAUGCUGUUUCUCGGCUCACUGUGUAUUCUUCACCCGUAUCAUUUAACUUUCUCAUGGGAUACUAAAAGGGAUUGAAAACACCCUGUGUCUCUGAGCCCCAGCGUCUGCUCUGUAGCAAAUCCUUUUGCAACACAUUUUAUACAUUGCACCAGGUCUGUUUCUAUCCUCAGCUCUUCCAUGCGAGUGUUGUUGGAUGGUCAGGAAAUCUUUGCCUACCUUUCAUAAUCCAUUUAUUCACACAUCACUCGUGGGCCAAUGCUAUCAGUGGUGUCAUCUCACAGCCACCUGCAUUUUCUAGCCCAGACAAUACUUAAAGUAACUGUACCACCACGCGGCCUUCAGCUUUGGCAGAGGGAUGCAAAGCCCUCAUAUAUGUGCCUGCUCAGACCCAGACCUGUGUCCGAGUUGCCCUACAACCCAGCAUGUUGGAAAACCCAAGCUGGUAACGCUGCUCUAUGGCACUCUGUUGCCUUUCAGUUAAUAUCCAGAAAUAACCAGGCUGAAGGAAUCAUGGCCCUGGGCCCAUGUUUCUUAAUUUCUGGGCAAGCUUGGGCAGAUUUUAGGUAGUUAUAAGGAAGAUGGUGCCCAUAAUUCCCUCCUCUGGGGAUACUGUGUUUCCCAGGAGUUUCUCUCUACACCUUCUGUGAUAAGGAUGCUCUCAAAGCAACGGCAUCCAGAGGUUGGGCAGCCAUUAAUGGGGAGACCUACACUUCACUAAGGACUCAGGCUUCCUAACCAACUUCCUAUCAACAACCUGUAGGUCUCAUAGCUAAGUAAAGCUCAGUCCUCGUUCAAGCCUAAUGCAGUCAUAGGAGUCAGGCAUACAUUUACGUACCUAAAUCCCAGUCUGCUCCAACUCUUCCAGACACAUUCUUGAUCCAAAGCCAUGCUGUUCUGUGAUACAAGGCUGCUCACAGCAUGGGGACAACGUGAGGAGACAGCCCUAGGUUGGUGUCACUCUCCCUUUCUCAUCCCUCCUGCUUUUCCACAACAUGCACCAUUUUCCUCAGAAAAAAAAGCACUCUGACAGCUUAAAAUUGACAUACCUGUUGGUGGGGACUCCUCCCAAAAUGCAGAAUGAGAUUUAAAUGGGAUGCAAUUCAAAGUGCUGUGUACUAUUCAGUAUGACCCUCAUACAGCUAACAUGCAAGCUCCAUUUGAUGCAUAUGGUACUAUGGCAAUGUAUCAAGGAUAAACCCUAGCUCUCCAGUAUCAGCCAUUUGACAUGGGGUCUGUAUCAAAUCGCUCAUGGAUUCAACAAGAGCCAUCAUGGGGGUGAGGCUGUGGGUA